UGGGGAAUAUUGCACAAUGGGGGAAACCCUGAUGCAGCAACGCCGCGUGAAGGAUGAAGGUUUUCGGAUUGUAAACUUCUUUUGUAGAGGACGAAAAAAAUGACGGUACUCUAAGAAUAAGCCACGGCUAACUACGUGCCAGCAGCCGCGGUAAUACGUAGGUGGCGAGCGUUAUCCGGAUUUACUGGGUGUAAAGGGCGAGUAGGCGGGACUGCAAGUCAGAUGUGAAAUACCGGGGCUCAACCCCGGGGCUGCAUUUGAAACUGUAGUUCUUGAGUGAUGGAGAGGCAGGCGGAAUUCCCGGUGUAGCGGUGGAAUGCGUAGAUAUCGGGAGGAACACCAGUGGCGAAGGCGGCCUGCUGGACAUUAACUGACGCUGAGGAGCGAAAGCGUGGGGAGCAAACA
The sequence is a ribosomal RNA, 405 nucleotides long. It matches the Rfam family "Bacterial small subunit ribosomal RNA", at positions 355 to 774 of the family's 1533-position model.